GUGCUUGGGGUAGUAAACAGAUAUGGGCUCGAAACUUAAAGAAUUUGGCGGUACCUAAGUCUGGUUAGAGGAACCUGUGCUGUAAACGAUAAACCACGAAUAUCUUACUUUACGUUGAAAUUUCAGUACGUAUACCGCCAUUAUUAGAUAAUCUUUGAAGGGGUUUGUCGGAACAAAUUGAGAAUUUUGGAUAUUAGGUCAAGGUGCGGCUAAUAGUAAAGUUGACAUGGGUUACAUUGAGAUUAGUUGGUGCGGAUAGGUCUGGUAAUCGCAGAUUUAGUAAGGUGGAUUUAAUAGU
Molecule: ribosomal RNA, 298 nt
Filed under: Leptalpheus sp. d JS-2023
Lineage: Eukaryota; Metazoa; Arthropoda; Malacostraca; Decapoda; Alpheidae
Description: partial small subunit ribosomal RNA
Source: RNAcentral